Molecule: ribosomal RNA, 305 nt
Filed under: uncultured bacterium
Lineage: Bacteria
Description: bacterial SSU rRNA
Rfam family: Bacterial small subunit ribosomal RNA
Source: RNAcentral
UUGGUCUACGGGGGGCAGCAGUGGGGAAUAUUGGGCAAUGGGCGCAAGCCUGACCCAGCAACGCCGCGUGAAGGAAGAAGGCCCUCGGGUUGUAAACUUCUUUUAUCAGGGACGAAACAAAUGACGGUACCUGAUGAAUAAGCCACGGCUAACUACGUGCCAGCAGCCGCGGUAAUACGUAGGUGGCAAGCGUUAUCCGGAUUUACUGGGUGAAAAGGGCGUGUAGGCGGGCGAGCAAGUCAGACGUGAAAUUCCAGGGCCCAACCCGGGAACUGCGUUUGAACCUGUGCUUCUUGAGCGAUGGG